AUGGAAGAAGUGGGGCGCUGGGCCGCCCCCAAGGACCGUCAGACCCGUCCCUUAUUACGGGGGGGGUCUCGUGCUUUGCUGUCCCCCCCCCGGGGUCGUUACGCCCUACAAGUGGAGGGCAGGAGUGGGGCCGACCCCGAAGACGGAGCCGGGGGGAGCAGCGAACUCACCUUGGUGUGGGAUCGAACCGGGGUCCCGGGGGGCAGCGUGAGUUAUGGGGUUAUAGGGGGUUAUAGGGGGCUAUAGGGGGGUUAUAGGGGGUUAUAGGGUGGCUAUGGGGUGGGUUAUGGGGACUAUGGGCGGCUAUGGGGUGGUUAUGGGGGUUAUAGGGUCCCUGUCGGGGGAUAUGGGGUCCCUAUGGGGCUGUAUGGGGGGAUAUGGGGUCUUCUAUGGGUCUAUGGGGGGAUAAUGGGGUCACUAUGGGGCUUGUAUGGGGGGAUAUGGGUCUCCUAGGGGGAUAUGGGGUCCCUAAUGGGCGCUAUGGGGGGAUAUGUGGGUCUCUAUUGGGGUCUAUGGGGAUAUGGGGUCUCGUAUGGGAUGCUGUAUGGGUGGAUAUGGCGGUCCUAUGGCUCCUAUGGGAGAUAACAGGGUUAUCAGGGGGGUUAUAGGGGGCUAAUAGGGGGAUUAUAGGGGGGUUAUGGGGGGUUCAAAAAGGCUAAUGAGUCGUGGGUAUUGGGGGCUAUGGGUGGGUUAAUGGGAGGUUGUAAGGGGUUAUGGGGCUUAUGGGGUUGGUUAUAGGGGGGUAUAGGGGGGCUGUAUGGGGGCAUAUGGGGUGGUAUAUGGGGUUUAUAGGGGGCCUAAAGUGGGGCAUGGGUGGAUUAAUAGGGUGGUUAUAGGGGGGUUAUAGGGUUAUGGGGGGUUAUAGAGGGUUAUAGGGGGGUUAUAGUGGGUUAUAGGGGGGCUAUGGGGGGUCUAAGGGGUGGGUUAUGGGGGCUAUGGGGUCUAUGGGGUGGUAUAUAGGAGGAGUUUAUCAGAGGGUUAUGGGGGGCUAUAGGGGGGCUCAUGGAGUGGGUUAUGGGGGCUAUAGGGGGCUAUGGGGGCAAUGGGGGUGUUAUAGCGGUGGUUAUAGAGGGCUUUAUGGGGGGAUUAUAGCCGGCGUAUGGGGGUUAUAGGAGUUAAUAAGGGUUAUAUGGGGGUUUAGGGGGGUUAUAGUGGGUUAUGGGGAGCUAUGGGGUGUUACUAGGGGAUAUAGGGGUAUAAGGGGGCUAUAGGGGUUAUAGGGAUAUAGGGGGGUUAUAGGGGGUUA
This is a long non-coding RNA of Coturnix japonica (Japanese quail), 1246 nucleotides long. Lineage: Eukaryota; Metazoa; Chordata; Aves; Galliformes; Phasianidae. The record is from Ensembl.